RNAcentral lists this non-coding RNA (23 nucleotides) under Arabidopsis thaliana (thale cress). The record is from RNAcentral. Lineage: Eukaryota; Viridiplantae; Streptophyta; Magnoliopsida; Brassicales; Brassicaceae.
GAUAGGCUGACAACGAGAGUUGA